GACGAACGCUGGCGGCACGCUUAACACAUGCAAGUCGAGCGGAAAGGCCUGCUUUCCCUUGUGGAUUGCGGGUACUCGAGUGGCGAACGGGUGAGUAACAUGUGAGUGAUCUGCCCCCAACUUGGGUAUAAGCCUGGGAAACUGGGUCUAAUUCCCGAUAGGACUGCAGGGUGGUGCCUGUGGUGGAAAACGAUUUUCUAGUGGUUGGGGAUGAGCUCGCGGCCUAGCAGCCUGUUGGUGGGGUAAUGGACUACCAAGGCGGCGACGGGUAGCCGGCCGGGGAGCGUGGACGCUGACACUGGGACAGAGACCCGGCCCCGACGCGUACGGGCGGCAGCAGUGGGGAAUAUUGGGCCAUGGGCGGGAGCCUGCAGCAGCGACGCCGUGUGGAGGAUGACGGCAUUCGGGUUGUAAACUCCUUGCGACCGAGAGGAGGCCACCUGGUUGGAAGGGUGGUGACGGUAGUGGUAGAAGAAGCACCGGCUAACUACGUG
Molecule: ribosomal RNA, 494 nt
Filed under: uncultured bacterium
Lineage: Bacteria
Description: partial 16S ribosomal RNA
Rfam family: Bacterial small subunit ribosomal RNA
Source: RNAcentral